RNAcentral lists this ribosomal RNA (625 nucleotides) under Brachybacterium arcticum. Its description in RNAcentral is "bacterial SSU rRNA". It matches the Rfam family "Bacterial small subunit ribosomal RNA", at positions 63 to 705 of the family's 1533-position model. The record is from RNAcentral. Lineage: Bacteria; Bacillati; Actinomycetota; Actinomycetes; Micrococcales; Dermabacteraceae.
CGAACGAUGAUGGUGGUGCUUGCACCACCUGAUUAGUGGCGAACGGGUGAGUAACACGUGAGUAACCUGCCCCUCACUUCGGGAUAACCUCGGGAAAUCGUGGCUAAUACCGGAUAUGAACUUCUACCGCAUGGUGGUCGUUGGAAAGAUUUAUCGGUGAGGGAUGGCGCGGCCUAUCAGUUUGUUGGUGAGGUAAUGGCUCACCAAGACGAUGACGGGUAGCCGGCCUGAAGGGCGACCGGCCACACUGGGACUGAGACACGGCCCAGACUCCUACGGGAGGCAGCAGUGGGGAAUAUUGCACAAUGGGCGAAAGCCUGAUGCAGCGACGCCGCGUGGGGGAUGACGGCCUUCGGGUUGUAAACCUCUUUCAGUAGGGAAGAAGCGAAAGUGACGGUACCUGCAGAAGAAGCGCCGGCUAACUACGUGCCAGCAGCCGCGGUAAUACGUAGGGCGCAAGCGUUGUCCGGAAUUAUUGGGCGUAAAGAGCUCGUAGGUGGCUUGUCGCGUCUGCUGAAAACCCGAGGCUCAACCUCGGGCGUGCGGUGGGUACGGGCAGGCUAGAGUGUGGUAGGGGAGACUGGAACUCCUGGUGUAGCGGUGAAAUGCGCAGAUAUCAGGAAGA